Long non-coding RNA from Oncorhynchus keta (chum salmon), 781 nucleotides. RefSeq lists it as uncharacterized. The transcript has 5 exons. NCBI's taxonomy places the organism in Eukaryota, Metazoa, Chordata, Actinopteri, Salmoniformes, Salmonidae. The record is from RefSeq and is a predicted model, not a curated record.
UUAAUGUUUCAAUGGAACCCAACAAAAUCAUACAAUUAUUUAAUACAGAAUACAUUUCACCAAAAUCAAGGUUUCAUUAUUAUUGGCACUCCUCACUUCGUACUUAGUGCCACUAGUGCCAAAGAUAACAGCGUGGUCUUUUCCUGUAAUGUUUGACAAGGUUAAGGAACACAUUUGGAGGGAUUUUGGACCAUUCCUCAAUGCAGAUCCUUUCAAGAUCGUUCACAUUCUUGGGUUUGCACUUAUCAACUUCCCUCUUCAACUCAGCCCACAGGUUUUCACUUAUCAACUUCCCUCUUCAACUCAGCCCACAGGUUUUCAUUUAUCAACUUCCCUCUUCAACUCAGCCCACAGGUUUUCACUUAUCAACUUCCCUCUUCAACUCAGCCCACAGGUUUGCACUUAUCAACUUCCCUCUUCAACUCAGCCCACAGGUUUUCACUUAUCAACUUCCCUCUUCAACUCAGCCCACAGGUUUUCACUUAUCAACUUCCCUCUUCAACUCAGCCCACAGGUUUUCACUUAUCAACUUCCCUCUUCAACUCAGCCCACAGGUUUUCACUUAUCAACUUCCCUCUUCAACUCAGCCCACAGGUUUUCACUUAUCAACUUCCCUCUUCAACUCAGCCCACAGGUUUUCACUUAUCAACUUCCCUCUUCAACUCAGCCCACAGGUUUGCACUUAUCAACUUCCCUCUUCAACUCAGCCCACAGGUUUUCACUUAUCAACUUCCCUCUUCAACUCAGCCCACAGGUUUUCACUUAUCAACUUCCCUCUUCA